GACGAACGCUGGCGGCGUGCUUAACACAUGCAAGUCGAACGGAAAGGCCCUGCUUUUGUGGGGUGCUCGAGUGGCGAACGGGUGAGUAACACGUGAGUAACCUGCCCUUGACUUUGGGAUAACUUCAGGAAACUGGGGCUAAUACCGGAUAGGAGCUCCGGCUGCAUGGUGGGGGGUGGAGAGUUUCGGCGGUUGGGGAUGGACUCGCGGCUUAUGAGCGUGUUGGUGGGGUAGUGGCUUACCAAGGCUGUGACGGGUAGGCGGCCUGAGAGGGUGACCGGCCACAUUGGGACUGAGAUACGGCCCAGACUCCUACGGGAGGCAGCAGUGGGGAAUAUUGCACAAUGGGCGGAAGCCUGAUGCAGCCACGCCGCGUGCGGGAUGACGGCCUUCGGGUUGUAAACCGCUUUCGCCUGUGACGAAGCGUGAGUGACGGUAAUGGGUAAAGAAGCACCGGCUAACUACGUG
This 468-nucleotide ribosomal RNA is filed under the name uncultured bacterium. Its description in RNAcentral is "partial 16S ribosomal RNA". It matches the Rfam family "Bacterial small subunit ribosomal RNA", at positions 28 to 507 of the family's 1533-position model. The record is from RNAcentral.